Molecule: ribosomal RNA, 396 nt
Filed under: uncultured bacterium
Lineage: Bacteria
Description: bacterial SSU rRNA
Rfam family: Bacterial small subunit ribosomal RNA
Source: RNAcentral
GACGAACGCUUGCGGCGUGCCUAAUGUAUGCAAGUCGAGCGGGUUCUAUUCCUUCGGGAGUAGAGCGAGCGGCGAACGGUUGAGUAACACGUAGGCAACCUGCCCCGAAGUCGGGAAUAACUCAUCGAAAGGUGGGCUAAUACCGGAUGUGGAAGCCGCCGGCCUCGGCGGUUCUCUAAAGGCGAAAGUCGCUUCGGGAUGGGCCUGCGGCCUAUCAGCUAGUUGGUGGGGUAACGGCCUACCAAGGCGACGACGGGUAGCUGGUCUGAGAGGAUGGUCAGCCAGACAGGGACUGAGACACGGCCCUGACUCCUUUGGGGGGCAGCAAUGAGGGAUAUUGCACAAUGGGGGAAACCCGUGAUGCAGCGACGCCGCGUGGGUGACGAAGUCCUUCGG